Molecule: long non-coding RNA, 214 nt
Filed under: Hordeum vulgare
Lineage: Eukaryota; Viridiplantae; Streptophyta; Magnoliopsida; Poales; Poaceae
Description: long non-coding RNA (HVUL_LNC020241)
Source: RNAcentral
AGCUACUCGGAACUGCAGUCGAAUGGAACUAAGAAGUUAAGCGUGCUGGGGUUGGAGCAAUCUAGGAUGGGUGACCGACCGGGUUGCCAAAUUAAGCGUGCUUAGUACCAGCGUGCUAGUCUCUAAUUAAGGUGGUGUAGAAUUGAAUAAUUCGGACAAAAUGAAAAAGAUUGAAAUAAAAAACAGAAAAUAAAAAAAAAAUAACUGGGAUAAA